Molecule: ribosomal RNA, 400 nt
Filed under: uncultured bacterium
Lineage: Bacteria
Description: bacterial SSU rRNA
Rfam family: Bacterial small subunit ribosomal RNA
Source: RNAcentral
GGGGAAUCUUAGACAAUGGGGGAAACCCUGAUCUAGCCAUGCCGCGUGGUCGAUGAAGGCCUUAGGGUUGUAAAGAUCUUUCAGUGGGGAAGAUAAUGACUGUGCCCACAGAAGAAGCCCCGGCUAACUCCGUGCCAGCAGCCGCGGUAAUACGGAGGGGGCUAGCGUUGUUCGGAAUUACUGGGCGUAAAGCGCACGUAGGCGGAUCAGAAAGUCAGAGGUGAAAUCCCAGGGCUCAACCUUGGAACUGCCUUUGAAACUCCUGAUCUUGAGGUCGAGAGAGGUGAGUGGAAUUCCGAGUGUAGAGGUGAAAUUCGUAGAUAUUCGGAGGAACACCAGUGGCGAAGGCGGCUCACUGGCUCGAUACUGACGCUGAGGGGCGAAAGCGUGGGGAGCAAAC